UCGAGGAUCUUCCGCAAUGGGGGCAACCCUGACGGAGCGACGCCGCGUGCAGGAUGAAGGCCUUCGGGUCGUAAACUGCCGUCACACGUUAUGAAAAAGUGCUCACUAACACUGCGCACCUUGACAAAGGCGUGAAAGGAAGCCACGGCUAACUUCGUGCCAGCAGCCGCGGUAAGACGAAGGUGGCAAGCGUUGCUCGGAAUUACUGGGCAUAAAGCGCGCGUAGGUGGUCUUGUAAGCGGGGGAUGAAAGCCCAUGGCUCACCCAUGGAACUGUCCCUCGUACUGCAAGGCUUGAGGCGGAGGGGAGAAUGGAAUUCCCGGUGUAGCGGUGAAAUGCGUAGAUAUCGGGAGGAACGCCGGUGGCGAAAGCGAUUCUCUGGUCCGCUCCUGACACUGAGGCGCGAAAGCUAGGGGAGCAAACAGGAUUAGAUACCCCAGUAGUCCCUGAGCGGGCUGGCAAGGCGCAU
Molecule: ribosomal RNA, 469 nt
Filed under: uncultured bacterium
Lineage: Bacteria
Description: bacterial SSU rRNA
Rfam family: Bacterial small subunit ribosomal RNA
Source: RNAcentral